GGCCUCCCUUGUCUCCCGCUCAUCUUACCUGAAGGAGAUGAGUCUUCAUCAAAUGAGCCAAUGAUAUUAUUUCUGAAGCGGACAUUCCAGCCUAGUACCAUCAGGCGUAAGAGGAACCAUGGAUUUUUUGCUCGACAGCUUUUAGAGGAGUAGGCUGCAAUGAACCAACGCAUUUGUAGACCAACAGAUGCCGUCAGCUUUUCCGUUACAUUUGACCGCGUCAACUCGCAUAGGACAGGGAAGAUGAAACUGUAAACUAUCAAGUUACCAGAGGGGGUUUUAGGGGAGGGGGAGAUUGGCAGCUGCAUCGAGGAGGACAUAAGGUUCCAAGACUAAAUAGUAGUCUUCGUCGUCCUCAAAACAUCAAAAUUCCCUUUCAAGAAAACUGAAAUCUGCAAACGAUAUCAAUUUUGGUCUCGGGUGGAAUCAGGAAUGGCGUCGAGUGUGGUGAAAUCCCUAAUCAAAUCAUCUUCCUCACACCGGCAAAUGGAUGCAGAGUGCUUGUAGUAUAAGGCUGGCAGGGAUGGAGGACACGGCGGAGCUGCUGGAGAAGAAGCUAGCGUCGGUAAUUUCGAAGAUGAGCUUAGAGGAGGCACUCACUCUCGCUCCUGUUUUCAGCCAUUACCUCAAUUUGAUGGGCAUUGCUGAAGUUCAUCACAGGGUUUGUAGACAAAAGAAUGUAAAUCUUGUGAUGAUAUUUUUAAUCAGCUUCUGCAGCGUGUGUUUCCCCAAACCAGCUUUACGAUACUGUUUGCAAGCAGGAGGUCGAGAUUGUUCUUACUGCACAUCCUACACAAAUUAAUCGCGGAACCUUACAAUACAAACAUAUCAGACUUUCUCAUCUUUUAAAUUUAAGAGACCGACCUGAUCUUACUAGUGAAGACAGAGAUAUGGUGAUUGAAGAUCUGGUGCGAGAGAUAACUUCUGUAUGGCAAACAGAUGAGCUUAGGCACCAUAAACCCACACCAGUUGAUGAAGCUGGGCCAGGUUUGAACAUUGUGGAGCAGUCCCUUUGGAAAGCUGUACCUCAUUAUUUAUGUCAUGUCAGCAAUGCUUUAAAGAAGAUUUGUCUUCAAAUUCGUUUCUGCACACUGGGAAACUGGAAAACCACUUCCAUUGAAAUGCACACCAAUCAAGUUUGGCUCUUAGAUGGGGGGUGGUCGAGAUGGAAAUCCCAAUGUCACAGCAAAGGUCACAAAAGAUGUCUCGCUUUUAUCUAGGUGGAUGACUAUUGAUCUCUAUAUUAGAGAAGUGGAUAGCCUGAAAUUUGAACUAUCCAUGAAUUGGUGCAGUAAUAGCUUGUCAAAACUGGCACAAGAGAUUCUAGAGCACAGUAUGACAUAUUGCAGUUAUUUUCAGUGGUCAUUAAUAUUGGCUGCUUGGUAUCAUGUGGAGACUACCAAAGCAUAGCUUCCAUUGUUUUUCUUUGACAAUUUCCUUAACAGAAUCUGCAUCUGAGGAUCACCAGAGUUGGGAUCAUCAGUGUUAUAAUAGGAAUCAAGUAAAGUAACAACCUGCAGCACUUCCAACACAACUUCCAGCUAGAGCUGAUCAACCCUCUUGCACUGUCCGUUAUAAACCCCCGCCGACAGUAGAUUGCCAGAACUCCAGAAGGUUCAGGUUUUUUCGCUCUCUCGCUUCUCCUUAUCAACUUGACAGUGGUGCAGAUAUUUAGCAACUGGAGGGUUUGAUUCCUAAUUACGCGGCAAGGAAUAUUGAUUUCUGUGGCAAAGGGAUUGAUUUCCGUCUCAAAUCAAUAUUCCGUCUCUAACCUGCAUUUGAUCACUCGGCACGAGGUUAUUGAGCUUCCUCGAAGAGAGACAAAGCUCGAGCUUUCUGGAGAUGACGAUCUUCUUCAUUUUAAGAGAAUUAAGAUUGGGUAUCUGCACCUGAGGAUUCUUAGCAACAUCAGCUCCUCAAAUUUGUUAGAUCAUGCCGAAGAGAUUUGUAUAAUCUCAAGUCCAGGUACCUCAUGAUCUUCAUAGCUCUCAGUUCAGAUGCAAUAGUUCAAAUUGAAUAGAAAUAGUAUUUGAAGGAAUGACCUUAAGAAUUACAAUCUUGCACUCAUUUUUUGCCAAUUUACAUGUUGGCAUUCAUUGUGAUAUAUAAAGAAAGUAGUUGAUUCUUUCCAUCUUCGGGGAGCCGCUAUCACCAUCUCGAUUCACUGUUAGUCAAAGUCAACCUCAACGAUCAAAAUCAAGAACAGUAAAAGCUUGGUAAGAUUUCAACUAAGCAAAAUCAAGAUGAAUAUCAUAGUUAUUCAUCUUUUAUUCAUAUACCCAACGUGAUUACCUUUAAUUCACUUUUCAUUUUCAUGUUUUCAGUUGUAGUAAUUGAUUUAUCAGCUUUUAUAAUCUUUCAAGACAAAACCUUUUAUUGUUUCUUUGUUUUGUUAAUCGAAGUUCAUAGUUCAUAUAUGAAAUUUCCUUUUUUUGUGUAGCCUCUGUUCUAGCUUUUGAAUAAUUGCAAGAACAACAGGUUUUUUUAACGCUGUUAGACAGAAAGAGUAAAGUAAAACAAAUGAAAGAGAUCUGGUUCUUAAUCUGAUUUGGGCAGCCAAUCAUAGAAUCAAUCAUACGGUUAUUUCACUAAUGUUGAAAGAUUUUAGUUUUCGUUAUCCUGUAUGGAAUGAAUACAGGGGAAAAUACUUUCAUCAUUGCAUAUUUUAUCUUUCUUAGGAUUCAAAAGAGAAAAGUUUUUUGGUCAAGCUUUUGUGUAAAAGUAGUUAAAUUCACAGAAAAUUGAAUGCAAAUGGUUUUAUUUUCAGUUGCAAAGAAAUUUAUAGUGGAAUUCGACUUCGUAUUGAUGCUUUGAACUGUGAUUUUGGAGGUUAGUGUGUCUGUGCUUAAAGGAAGCAGCUUCUUUGCUGUUUGAGUGAAUUAGAAUUUGGGUAAGUUGCUAUGUGUAAUCAUAGUGCAUUAUGUUUUCACUAUUGAACUACAUACUACAAAUUGAAUUUAAAUGUAUAUUUGGACUGCUUUUUAACAGUUAAAUUCUGUAAAAUUCUAGGAUAAGAUCAGUUCUAAAUUCUUCUAUAUUAUGAAUGUAUGUAGAGAUUGUUCCCUACCCAUUCCACUUCAAUUUUCACCUUUUUCUGCUAUUGUUUUAUUAAAUUUUGUGUAGUUCAGUUUUGUUUGAAUCAAUUUUAUGCAUCUCUGAUUAUUGGAAAUGUUGAAAUUCAAAAAGUAUAAACCAUGUGUUUCACAAUUGCAGCAACCAAAAGAAUCAUUAGUUUUCUUCCUAACCAAAUCUUAACUGAAAUGGAACAGUUUAACCAGUGAUUAAUAUUGUUUCAAAAUUAUUGUUCUGUGUUUUGGUGUGUGGAGCUAUUAAUUCCUUAAUUGCUAAACUGAUGGCUUAUGAUCUGAUCGUUUACAUUAGCCCUUUUUAAAAAAAAAAAAUUACAGGCUGCCAUCAUUCUAUAAUCUUCUAUGCGUUUCUUCAAUAACCUAUUUGCUCAAUUACGGGCUGCUUAACGAGAAGUUCGAUUGCUGGUAUCUCCGUCUUAACGCAAUAGAAGACACCGGAGUCUGAGACCUCGAUGGUCGAUUGGACCGGUCUCAAGUAUUGUUCGAAAGCCUUCUUCACUAUUCAUUUUGGGAAACUUUCAAACUUUCGAUUUUGUGAAAUUGAGCUCACUUGAUUAGAUCGGAGGAUCCGAUUGAGCAAUCAGAGAUAUAUGAGAGAUUAAGCUCCAGAGUGAGAGACAGAUAGGGAGGGGACUUUUCUCUGCCAAUCAGAAGAAGAGGAUUUGCUGAGGGAAAGUCUAGAGAGGAGGAAGGGAUGUCUUGGUCGAUUUCAGUCUGUUCCUAAUUUGGGAAUCUCUGUUUCACAUUCAAAGUUUCAAUCUUUAAAGGAGCUUAUUGAAAGACGUUUGACAUAUCUCAAAAGCCAAAAAGAGAAACUCGAAUCAAUGUCUGUGUUCAAGGUGUGCGAAGCGGUGGGAAUAGAGAAUUUCACACUAAAUCUCCUCCAAAAGAUAGUCUGUGACUGUCAGCGUUCUGCUCCGGUCAUCCUUGGCCGAGCCCAGGUCUAUUCCUUCCACUUCUGUGUACCUGACUGUCGAUGUUUCAUAUCUCUUUAGAAAGCCUGAGGUUUCAGAUAUAGUAAUUUUCAAGGCAUCUUCAAUGUUGCAGUGUAUUUAUAAAAAGAAUUGUGGCCAAGGCUGCAGUUUAUGUUCAGGUACAUGAUGAGAAAUUGUUGGUCAAUGGUGA
This is an RNA transcript of Rosa chinensis, 4214 nucleotides long. RefSeq lists it as uncharacterized. The transcript has 19 exons. The record is from RefSeq and is a predicted model, not a curated record. Lineage: Eukaryota; Viridiplantae; Streptophyta; Magnoliopsida; Rosales; Rosaceae.